Peromyscus californicus insignis is the source of this 17005-nucleotide long non-coding RNA. RefSeq lists it as uncharacterized. NCBI's taxonomy places the organism in Eukaryota, Metazoa, Chordata, Mammalia, Rodentia, Cricetidae. The record is from RefSeq and is a predicted model, not a curated record. The transcript has 3 exons.
AAGCAUUUUCAAAGUUAAUCAACAGCUCUUCACACCCAGUACUUCAGUAAAGAUGCAUCAGUAAGUGAAGGAGGGAGAAAAGAGGUAUUAUUAGAAAAUACUAUACAAGCCCAUGUUUAAUUCUUUAAAUUUUUUGUGUCCUACACUAUCAAUUCAAACCUUGCUUUAUUUUAUUCUUAAUUUUUUUUGGGGGGUGGGGGGAACAGAGUCUCUUCCACAUAGCCCUGGCUGUCCUGGAACUCACUGUGUAGACCAGGCUGGCCUCAAACUCACAGAGCUGCACCUGCCUCUGCCUCCUGAGUGCUGGGAUUAAAGGCGUGCGCCACCACACCUGGGCCUUGAUUCAUUCUUGGCUGGAAGUGGUAGUCUAAUUAUUUUGAAGGUGAUUUUGUACCAGUGAAACUUUAAGACAUAAAAGUAUUCAUAAAGAAAAAAAGUAUUUCAAGGGUAGGUUAUAAAGACUUGGGCCAGGGUUGUAGUGGCACACACUGUUAAUUCCAACAACAUCCAGGAGGUGGAAGCAGGACAAGUUCUGAACUAAAUGGUUGAGAAUCUAGAUGGAGUCUGAACGGAAUUCACAUAAACUACUGUCACUGUGCUACACUCCUCAAAAAUAAACAAUGGACUGCAGAGAAGGCUCGGCAGCCAAGAGCACUUGUUGCUCCUGCAAAGGACCUGGGAUCAGCUCCCAGCACCACAUCAGGCAGCUCACAACUACCAGCACCUCCAGUACCAGGGAUCCAAUGCCUGCUUCGGGCCUGCGGGCAACUGCACGCAUGUAGUGCGUAUACAGAGAAGCAGCAACACACAUGUGCACAUAAAUAGAAAUACGUUUUUAAAAAGUAACAGAGAAUAAGUUUGGCCAGAGGAACUUCUAUGUUAGAUUGACCUGCGUCAUACUAUUAAAAAUUCAAACCAGGGCUGGAGGAAUGGCUCAGUGGUUAAGAGCCCUGGCUAUUGUUCAGAGGACCCAGGCUCGAUUCCUAGGACCCAUACAGCACAACUGUCUGUUACCUCCAGUUUCAGAUGACCAGCACCCACUUCUGGCCUCCAUGGGUGUCGGGCACAAAAGUGGCGCACUGACACACGCAGGUCAAACACAUACAUACAUUUUAAAAAUCGGUCUUGGUUCAGGGAUACAGCGCAGUAACAGAGCAGCUGCCCAGCAUUCCUGAGACCAGCCUGUGGUUCAGUCGCCAGCACCAAAACAUCUAAACAUUCAGACUCCGAGCACAAUCACAGACCUGCCAAAGACCUUCUCAGAACCACCAGAACUUUCAUUUUAACAAACUUUCGUUUAACAAAUUCAUUCCAGUCGCUACACAAUUCUACAGCCUGAAAGCUACCAGCAUGGAUCACCUACAUCACGACAAUCUGUAAGUCAUCUCCUAACACACAGGGGAGGGACACUUUUUACCUUAUCUCCAAUGUCUUUAUAACAGAUUUUUAUACUAGCACCAUUCUAUGUUGUAAAUUAAAAUAUGCAUAUAUAUAUAUAUAUAUAUAUAUAUCAAUGUCAGUGAGAGUGGUCUCAUAUAAGAUGCAUAUUUACUUAAUGAGUAAAGACCUAGAUAUACAUAACAGAAAAUAAUUAGAAAAUGUUAUUUAUUACUAUAUACCAAGCAUGCUAGUGGCGUGUCUUCUACUAGGGAAAAUAUGCCAUUUCAUUAUUCACUAAACUUAUUUUUACAUUUUUAUUAGAUGUAUUCAUUUUAUUUUAUGUGUGUUUUGCCUGCAUGUAUGUAUGUAUACCAUGUAUGUGCUUGGUGCCCAUGGAGACCAGAAAAAUGCACUGGAUCCCCUGGAACUGGAGUUACAAGGUUGUGAACCACCAAGUGGGUGCUGGAAAUCAAACCCCAGUCCUCGGCAAGAGCCACAAGCACUCUUACCUGCUGAGCCAUCUCUCCAACUCCUCACUUAACUCCUUUAAAAAGAUGUAUUGCAUUGUUUUAUCAUGUAUGGGUAGCCUCAAGAAGCAAUUCUCUCCUGCUAUGUGUCUCGGGAAUCAAGCUCGGGGUGUCCUGCCUGGACAAGUGCCUGCUGGAGCCACCUUGUAGCCUGGCUCUAAACUUCUUUUCCAUCACUAAUUAACCAACUCUGGCAACUAUAAAUCACUGCUUUAAAGAUAAGCAAGGGCACAGUGGUUCACAUUCUGUGGGCAAUCAAUGAAAAAGGGAAUGAGUAACUACAAGCCCCUGAGUUGCAAAAGCAUUUUCUUAAUAGCAAUAGGGGCUAAAUUUUUGAACUCACUAUCUCAACUAUGAUUGCUUAUGAUAAAGACUGAUACAACAUGCAUUUACCACUUCUUAGUACAGAUAAUUACAAGGGACAAGAGGGUACCUAUUCAAAGUAACAGAGCCACUUAACGUUAAUAUUUGCAAUCUAGAAUAGUUUAUGUGCCACCCACAAUAACUCACCUGGAUUCAAGUUAUAAGAUCUGUAUUGUUAUGCAAAGCAUAAUUCAAUUAAACUGGUCAGAUGAAAAAUUAUCUGAUAAUCCUUUCCACACAAUUACAAAUCUCUAUAUAUAAAGAAGCAAAUAAACAUUUGUUUCUUUUUUUAAGUUUUGGAGUUUUUGUUUUUCAGCUUACAAAGAAUUAAGUUUCAUUACUGUGUUUUUCAAAACAGAAUUUGAUUCUGUGGUUUCUUUCCUCCUUAUUCCCCAUUCCUCUUCCUCCCUCAUCCCCUCUGUCCUCAACUCCUCUCCCAUUUCUUGAUGUCCUUCUUUUCAACCCCUCCUGUUCCCAGUCAUGGCCUCUAGUCCUCAUCUGCAUCCUCACAACUCCUCCUGUGUGGGAAGACGUCAGCGUCUUCUUACAAACCAGACAGCACUGAAGCAGCAGGAUUGACUGACCCACGGGGAGAGGCUAACUACGGGCAGUGCUUUAGCUCGCAUUUGCAAACAGGCUAAGAUGCUUCCCUCUGGGAAGAUGACUGGUUUAUAUAGUGAGGCUCUGCGGAUGCAUCCCUCAAUCCAAGAAGAUAAGCUUCUUCUCAAAGUAGUGGUCUCUUUUCUGAAAUCAUUUUUUUAAUCAAUCUUGGAUUCUGGACAAAUUAUAGAAAAGUUCCACAGUUAAUUACUUGAGAAAUUCAUUAGCUGUAUCAUAAACAUAUGAUUUUUAAUCUUAUAAAUUACAUAUUAUCUCUAUUGCCUGGAUAUUCACCUUGUAUUUUUCUGUUUCUUAGUCUCUUUAGUCUUAGGAUACUCACACAAUAUCACUAAAGAUCAAUUAUCACAACUUAGCCAGUCAUUAGAUCUGGAAUUAUGUAACAACUUAAAACACUACCACACAACUCAAUUGGUCAAAUACCCACCGUGUAUGUCCUUUUGUAGGUGGUGGAAUUGAGUCUGAUAUAGCUCCCAAAUAACCCUCCUGCUUCUACUUCCCAAGUGUAGAGAUUCUAGGUGAGUACCACCAAGUGCAGAGAUUCUAGGUGAGCACCACCAAGUACAGAGAUUCUGGGUGAGUACCACCAAGUGCAGAGAUUCUAGGUGAGUACCACCAAGUGCAGAGAUUCUAGGUGAGUACCACCAAGUGCAGAGAUUCUGGGUGAGUAUCACCAAGUGCAGAGAUUCUGGGUGAGUACCACCAAGUGCAGAGAUUCUGGGUGAGUAUCACCAAGUGCAGAGAUUCUGGGUGAGUACCACCAAGUGCAGAGAUUCUGGGUGAGCACCACCAAGUGCAGAGAUUCUAGGUGAGCACCACCAAGUACAGAGAUUCUGGGUGAGUACCACCAAGUGCAGAGAUUCUAGGUGAGCACCACCAAGUGCAGAGAUUCUAGGUGAGUACCACCAAGUGCAGAGAUUCUGGGUGAGUACCACCAAGUGCAGAGAUUCUAGGUGAGUACCACCAAGUGCAGAGAUUCUGGGUGAGUACCACCAAGUGCAGAGAUUCUGGGUGAGUACCACCAAGCCCAGUUUUCCUGUCCAACUUUUGACACUGCAACACCACAAUGCUGUCAUCUCCAACAGUCAGGCUCCAGAAUCACACAACAGAGUUACAGAUAAAUGUUUUAAGUGUGUUUACCAUCUUGUCUGAGGCCACAUGUGUUGGCUGUAUGUGGCUCAUGGGCUGUAGGUUUGACAGGACUGAAUGGGCAAAAGUCUCACAGAGGCUCAUUAAAAAUCAAACAGUAUUUGAUGCUGGUUUGGAAUCUCAGCCCUGCCAAAUAGGAGUAACUAUUUUUAAACCUAAUAUUUGAUCUCAUUAAAUUCUAGACAAACGUCUUGGCAAAGGUCAUAGACUUUUUUUUAAUGUAUUUAAGGAGCUGGAAGAAUGGCUCAUCAGUUGAGAGCGUUGGUUGCUCUUCUAGAAGACCCGGGUUCGAUUCCCAGUGCCCACAUGGCAGCUCACAACCAUCUUUAAUUCCAGUUUCAGGGAAUCCAACACCCUCUUCUGGCCUCCAUUGGCAUCAGGCACACAUGUGGUACACAGACAUCCGUACAGGCUAAACACUCACACACAUACAAUGAAAACAUACAAAUGAACUCUACCAAUGGGUAAAUUUGUUUUAAUUACAGUGAUUUUUUUAAAUCUUUUUUAUGGAUCCUCCUAGUGAUCAGCUCCAUCAAGAUGACUAGCCAUCAACAAUGAAUGCGAACUUCAAACACAGCCACAGAAGUUACUGCCAAUGCCCUGAGUACAGAGUGGAAGGGUAAUGUGGUCUGAAUCCACGGUGGGAUGGCAGAUGAGAUCUUUUCAAGAGGCAGGUUGUCCUGACCUACAGCAGUGUGUACCUGUUGUUGAGCAAAGAGCAUUCUUACUAUAGACCAAGGAGAACGGGACCAAGGAAGUGCAAGUCUGGGAGGCAUUCUGGAUAUCAAUCUGAGUGUUCUCAACUUAGUUAUUGAAAAAAAAGGGGAGGGGAAAUUUAUUCCUGUACUGCCAGAUAGUUCUGUGCCUCAGCAGUUGGGACCCAAAAGAGCAAGUAGAAUCCUCAAACUUUUCAAUCCCUCUAAAGAAGAUAAUGUCCACCAAUAUGUUGUCAUAAACACAGAAGGCGAGAAGCACCCCAAAUUCAGCAUCUUGUUAUUCCACCUGUCCUGCAACUCAAUGACCAACUGCUCUGAAGAACAACACACUAAGAAAAAUGAGGUUGCAGAAUACACUAAGCUUUUGGAAGCCAAGGAAUAACGUCAGGAACAGACUGCCAAGACACAUGACGUGGGCUGUCCUCGCUGAGAGCUUCUACUUUUGAGUGCUGACAAAAUAAGAAUCUCUGAGCCUUCCUUUCUAGUCCAUCUCCUUUGUGCCCAACUCUACUGCAACAGGCCCUGAGAAAAGUAAUUUAUUCAAAGCACAAGACAAGGUCUUCAAAAUAGCAAUUGUUCCAGGACCUUAAAGAGGACACGAAUAGAUGUCUUAAUGAAGAUCGUGAAAAUACACUUGAAUGCAAUAAGGAAAACAGUAUAGGAUAGUAAAGUAAAAUUUAAGAAAGAAAUACAUCACUAAUGAAAACCCAAACUAAAAUAAAACUCAACGAAAAAGAGGCUAUCAAACAAAAACCUCACAGACCAGUGCCUCGUUCAACUUAUGUCAGAGCAGCUGCUUCUGACAGCAGAUGGGAACUAACACAGAGACUAAACAGGACAAUGUUUAAAGACUUUGGCACACACAGCCCUAAGUGGGAUGUCUUCACCAACCCCCUCCUCAAAGCUCAGGGAUCUAUGCAGAAGGUGGAAAGAUUGUAGGAGCCAGAGGUGGUGGGUUCCACUCCAAGGAAGCAGGGUCUUCUGACACAACAGCACUGAUGCACACAUGAACUCUGACUGUGGCAGCACGCACAGAACCUGCACAGGUUCAAGCCAGAUGGGUCCCAGCACUGAGAGAGGGAUGUGGACAUGGGGUUCCACCCCUACCCCUGAAGCUAUGUGCAACUGAUACCAACUGACAAGAGAGAACAAAUCGGUUUUCUCCAGUGGAGGGAGUGUCAGUGGGUCUAUCUACCAUAUCCACGGCAGGCCCCAUGCCUAGGAGUGGCUGGGCAACAAAACAACUCCAUGGCUUUUCCUGUGGACUUUGUUUGGCUUUGUCUUGCUUUGUUUUGUCUUAUUGGUCUUUUGUUUGUUCAUUUUGAGGUUUUGUGGGUUUUUGUUUUUUGAAAGAAAGAACAUAAAGUUGGAUGGGUGGGGCGGUGGGGAGGACCGAGGAGCAAUCACAGGAGGAGAAAUACAAUCAAAAUACAUUGAAAAAAUAAAAUAAAAAAAUUUAAAAAAGACUCUUUAAGAGUAAAAAAGAUGGUCAGGCUUUGAAAAAAAUAGUGGUUGUUUCUGUUUUCCAAUUUCCUUAAUCUCUUCAGUGAAGUUGAACUGUUUCAAACAGCACAGACCACUUUGAUCUCUGGCUGUCAGGAAAUUCUUUAUGCAGAGACUGCAGAGAUGGUUCUGUAGGUAUACCACACAAAGCAGGAGGAUCUGAACUCAGAUCUCAGGACCUAGGUAAAAGCCAGGCAUGGUGGUGGGUGCCCGAACCUGUGAGGGUUUGGGGGCACGAGGCAGUGGAGACAGGCUAGUUUAGCCAAUCUGUGAGCUUUGGGCUCAGUGAGAUACCCUGUCUAAAAAUCAAGAUCAAGAGUAAUAGAGGAAAAUAUCAACCAUCAGCCUCUGGCCUCUGAGCUCACACACAGAAGAGAAUUCUCCAUGCAGAAACAGAACACACCCACUGCAUUCUAACUAAUCUGUUAUGGCUUCCUUAUACUAUGCUGACAUGUCUUGGGGCUUUCCUCAAUGUUUUCUAGUUUGCGCUUCUGUCCCAUUAGGAAACGCCCUGAGCAAACACUACAGACCAUUAUUAAUCCUUUCAACAAUUUUUUCAAACUUCAUACAUUAGUGCAUUUAAGAAUCAAUUUUUUAAGAGCUGGAGAGAUGGCUCAGUGGUUAAGAGAACCUACUGCUCUUGCAGACGGCUCAAAUUUGAUUCUCAGCACCCACAAGGCAGCUCCCAGCCACUGUAACUCCAGCUCCAAGGGGAUCUGACACACGUGCACAAGCACACACAUAAUUUAAAGAAUUAUAUUUUUAUAAAUGGCAAAGAUUGUUGAGGAAUAGCAGUCAUUGAAUCAGUGGGUCAUUUUAGCUCAGGUUAUUUGUUUGUUUAUUUAUUUAUUUUUGUUUUCGAGACAGGGUUUCUCUGUGUAGCCCUGGUUGUCCUGGAACUCAAUCUGUAGACCAGGCUGGCCUCAAACUCAGAGAUCCCUCCCUCCAAGUUCUGGGAUUAAAGGCAUGUGCCACUACACCCAGUUUAAAAAAAAAAAAUCAAUUUUUACAAAGUGCAACAGGAUUGAAAAAAAUAUCUACCAUACAGUAUGAAAGGGUUAAUGAUAUCUACCAUACAGUAUGAAAGUGUUAAUGAUAUCUAACAUACAGUAUGAAAGGGUUAAUGAUAUCUACCACAAAGUAUGAAAGGGUUAAUGAUAUCUUCUGUGCAACCUCUUUCUAAUAUGUUGAUAAACACACAUGUGGGAGGCCAGCUCCCACUUUUCCCAGAGUUCCUAUGAGGAGGCAAGAGGGAUAAGAAACUUGUAGAUAGAAAGAUAGCGAAGUGGAGAAAGACAGAAACACAGGAUAGCUUUGGGAAGACCUGGGUCAAUACCCAAUGGCCCCUUCUGCCUCUUCAAAAGGGCUUUUUAUAACAAUGCCAAGGGGCGGGGCAAAAGACCUCCCCCUUACAAAAUCAAACCACACCAUACAGCCAAAUGCAGACCCUUCCAAACCCCUGGUAACCACGCCUGUCGUCAAAUCAUCCCCUUAUGCAGCCCUACUGGGUAAAGCAAGCUCACAUUCUCAGACACUGAGUAAUUUGGGCCUACACACACACAGAAACAGAACUAAAUGAUGAACUAUGAACUAAAUGGAUAAAAUAUUUAUUAUUUUCAGUCAAAAACUUUUGAAAGCCUCUCUGAUGAUGGCUGAGAGAUGCACUGAAAUUCUCACAGGAUUAAUCAAACAUUAAAGAAAAAAACAACUUUGAAAGCCACCAGAGCGUGUUGUGGUUAGAUAAGAGAAUGUUUCACCCAGUACAUUCAUACUCGUGGCAAAAUGCUCGAUUGGACUCAGUGCAGGGGGAAAUUAGGGCUCUCUGUACCAAAAUAUAGUAAUACCCCUGGGAGAAAUAAGCAAAAACAUACACAUUUAGCUGGAACCUGAACACACAUGGGCUGGGCUAGGCCAGGGACUCAGGUUCCUAAAUCUGACUGGCCCAGGCUCUCAGUUUACAAUGAGGAGGAUGCCAGGUGCUGUUGUAUAGCUGGUCUCAUUAAAAGAUCUGAGGCUUGUCUGAUGACAGGUACAAAUGCUACAAUAUGACAUAACUUAGGAAGUGUUUACCUUCUGAUGAUACAGUUGAUAAAAAGCCUGUAUGCUGAGUAUUUUCAUAUACCAUCUUUUACUUUCUACAACAACCUGAUGAAAGGAUAUUACUCAGGGUUAAAGUUACAGACAGGAAAAUGUUCUCAAACAUACAGCUCCUGAAUGUCAAUGUUUUAUAUUUUAAAGAGUUUCUAUUUAUCUUUUCUUUUUUUUUUUUUUUUGAGACAGGGUCUCACAUCGUAGCCCAGGCUGGCCUCAGAUUCCACAUCCAAUCCCUCAGUCCAUUGAGUCUGGGUACUGGAGUGCACCACCAUACCCAGCUUAUUUUUUCCAACACAUAAUAAUUGCACAUCUCUUUUGUUUUUAAGCGGCAAACGUGCUCCAAUAUACCUCUGCAACUAGUAGCAUGGUCUGUGGAGAACUACUGGCCCAGGAAUGGUCCAUUAACACAAAUGCAACACGUUUUAAAUUCAACAUUAAACUUUGUCACUUCCAACUAGUAAUUAGGGUUUUUUCUGGGGGCGGGGGGGGGGGGGAAGCGGUUUUAAGACAGGGUUUUUCUGUGUAGCUCUGGAAUUCCCUUAUGACCAGGCUGGCCUCAAACUAAGAAAUCCUCCUGCCUCUGCUUCCCCGGGGCUGGCAUUAAAGGCAUGUGCCGCCGUGCUGUUCGUUUUGAAGCAACUAAAAUGUUAACUUGCAGUAAGUACCCCCAAAUCCAAAUUCAACCCAUUAGAGAAACGAAUGUCAGUGACGUCAAAGUCGAGCGCAUUUGUUAGUUCAUCUACCAAGCACUAACCUAAGACUCCUGGACCCGGCUAGGGGAGAGGCAAGGACGCUGAGGAUGCAGGGCUGCAGUGGCUCUGUCCAACUUGCCCAGCCAGAAGCCUGGACUUCGAGAGACAAGGCCUAAGCCCACGAAACACUAAAUAAUAAGAAUAUCACAGGGCAGUUAGUUUCCAGGAUCUUUUUAAAAGAUCUGCUUAGCCCAUGCCUUUGAUCCCAGCACUUGGGAGCCAGAGGCAGGUGGAUCUCUGUGAAUUUAAGGCCAGCCUGGUCUACAUAGUAAGUUACAGUGUGGUGAUAUAUUGUGUCCCCCAAUAUACUGUGUCUCCCAAUAAAAUUUACCUGAGGACCAGAGGAAGAAGCCAGCCACUAUAUUAACAUAGAAGUCAGGCAAUGGUAGCACACACCUUUAAUCCUAUCACUUGGGAGACAGGGAUCUGUCUGGAUUUCUGUGAGUUCAAGGCCACACUGGGGAACAGAGCCAAGCGUGGUAAAACAUGCUUUUAAUCCCAGCACUAACCAUAGAGGUCUGGAGGUCUGUACAGACAGACAGGAAGUGACAGAGCUGGGCAGGAAGAGGAAGUGAUGAAGCUGAGCUGAGAGAGCAAAUGAGAGGACAGAACAGAAAGGCAUAUGUACAUGGGCAGACAGGAAGUAGCUUGCUUUGGAAGCUGCAGAGUUGGUGAGGUGAGGUUAGCUGUGGCUUUUCCUAUUCCUCUGAUCGCUCUCAGGCUUUAACCCCAAUUUCUGGCUCCGAGUUUUUUGUUUAAUAAGACCAUUUAGUGAUUCAUCUACAUUCCAGGGCAGCCAGAGCUGUGUAGAGAGACUCUGUCUCAAAAAACAAACAAAAAGUUUAUUUAUGUGUAUGUAAUGUAUGUUUGCCUCCAUGAGUUUGUGUGUACCAUCUGUGUUCAGGGCCCCUGGAAGCCAGAGGAGGGUGUCAGCUCCUCCAUGUGGGUGAUGGGAACUGAAUCCUAGGUCUUCCUCAAGAGGAGUGAGCUCUCUUAACCAUGGAGCCAUCUCUCCAGCCACUCUUCUCUACCAAUUUUUAUUAAUAAUACAGCACGUUGUUCAGAAAUGUUGGCUUACAGAUCUCACAUCAGCAAGUACUCUCAAUGUCAUUUUACCCGAAUUUCUGUUUCACUUUCUCAAAACCAGGAAGGUAACUUGAACUAUCACGAGACUACCAAUAGCUGACCAUUUUUUAAUGUGUAGAUCUAUACAUCUACCAUUUUUCAAAUUAAUAUUUACUGAAUUGGGUAGAUGUGAUGAGUUAAUAAGAGAAGGUAUGGGGAUUUCUUCGUCCAGUACUUGACGUAUAGUAAAUGCUCAGAAAGUGAGGAGGAUUCUUUGUGGUGCUGGGGAUGAACACCAGGGCCUGGCACAUGUGUUCUGACCCUGAGCUACAUCUCUAGCCCGAGAAUGUUGUGGAAUAUUUGUUUAACUGGGCAAAGAUGUGUUCCAUUUGUUUAUGCAGUGGACUUUCUUUAACGGCGUAAAGGUGUGUCACAUUUGUUCAGCCUGCAUUUGUUUAAUUAUGUGAAGACGUGUUGCAUUUGUUUCACCUGGCCUGCCCAAAGCUCUUAGUUGGCCUAAUAAAGAGCUGAAAGGCCAAGAGUUAGGCAGAGAAAGGAUAGGCAGGGCUGGCAGGCAGAGAGAAUAACUUGAAGGAGAAAUCUAGAAGAGAAGAAGGAGAAGAGGACGGAGAGGAGAGGGACACGCCCUGGGCCAGCCAGACACGAGAAGCAGUGAAAGUAAGACAUGCAGAAGGAAGACAGGUAAAAAGCCCCGAGGCAAAAGGUAGUUAAAGAGAAACCGGUUAAUUUAAGUUAAAAGAGCUAGCCAGAAACAAGCCUAAGCUAGGCCAAGCAUUCAUAACUAAUAAUAAGUCUCCGUGUCAUGAUUUGGGAGCUGGUUGAUGGCCCAAAAGAAAAAGCCUGGUACACAAGAACUUCUGUUAUCCUGGUCUACUCUCUCCUGUUACAGCCUAGCUACCACAGGUUGACAGAUUCAUAACAUGAUCAGCAAGCAUCGCAGUAUUGUAAUGGAUCUUUCUUGUCGGACUUUCUUUGGACCACCAGCCCUGAAAUAAUGACAUGGAGACUCAUUAAUUUUGAAAGCUUGACCUUUAGCUUAGGCUUUGUCCCAACUAGGUCUUAAAUGAACCUGCUUCUAUUAAUCUACAUUCUGCCACAUGACUUUUUACUUCUCCAUUCUGGAUGCCCAACUCCUUCAGUAUCUCGCUGGAUUCUCUUACUGUCCCAAAUUCUAACUUUCAAUCUCUCUCUCUCUCUCUCUCUCUCUCUCUCUCUCUCUCUCUCUCUCUCUCUCUCUCAGUCCUGCCUAUUCUCUCCUGCCUAGCUAUUGACCAUUCAGCUCUUUAUUAAAUCAAUCACAAAGAUACAUCUUCACACAGUGUACAAUUAUCUCGAAACACAUUGUGUUCCUGAGAUUUAUGUAUGUAAACUCAUAUGCUCUUAGCCACUCAGUUGAGUGACUUGUUGAAGAUUCCCAGUGAGCCCUGAUCCAAACCUAGACCCCUUGACCAGAUGUGGUAGCACACACCUACAAUCCCACCACUCUGCAGGCUGAAGCAAGGAGGAUCAGGAAUCCAGUGGUAGUCCGAGCUACUUAAUGAGAUACCUAUUUCAAAACAAACAACAGGGUUGCGGGAGAACCUAGAUGCUGUCAUUUAAACUCUUCACUCUUCCAUCAUAUUAAAGGUAAUUUAAAUUCUUUAAUGUGUUUGUGCAUGAUUUAUAUGCUUCUCAUGCCUUACAUAUUUUACUUAAUGAUACUGUUGCUGUAACACCACAGUUUGGGGGGUGGGGUGGGGGAAGAGAAAUGUAAUCUUCUAAAUGUAUUCAGGGUGCCAAAGGAAGGAGUACAAACCAGAAGAACUUGUGAGUCUUUGUCUCCAGGAGGGCAUGCUUGCAUACUUCCUCCUGUAGGUACAGUACACCGCAAGCUUUGUUUCCAGGUGUGUGAACACUCCCCUGCAAGAGCUGCAUGCACAGGAGAAGUCACCAACACCCAGUGCUUUUCAGCUCGUGCUUUUCAUUUCCUGGUGUUGGUAGGAUCUGAUAGCAUUGCUGCUUGCCUUUUCAAACCCGUUCCUUUUGCUUGGCCUGUAACAGUCUCUACUACAUCCCCAGUGCAUGUAACUGCGGAACUCUUCUGGAAGCCCAACAAGUGUUUAGAUCAAAGCAGACAAGAAAAAAAAGUUCAUGGUGAAUUCGUUGCUGUAGAAAGAGAUACCAUUUCAUCCCCAGCUUUUUGUUUGUUGUUUCUGUGGGGUUUUUUUGUUUGUUUGUUUUUUGGUUGGUUGGUUGGUUGGUUGGUUUUUUGCUGUAUAUGAGACUAAACAACAUCUAAGAAUUAAAUUCCUUUUGUCGAAUUGUUGUAAGAAGUAUCAAAUAAGAGCCUUUUCUAACAUGCAAACGUUUUAAUCCUUACUCACUAAAACCCGUGUUUACUCAGAGGUCCGCUGCUCCAGUCUAGGAAUUGGAUGUCCUUUUCUGUUUGGAACAGGGACACCUCUGGCUUUCUCCAUUUCCUGUGUGCCAAUUCUUUUCAAGCUAGCCCAUUAAGUAAGAUUGGGAGGUCUGCCCCAGCCAGUGGGGAAAACACACAGGCACACCUUCCUUAGAGGAAGAACAGAAAAACAGGUGCACUUCCUGUCCAGGUAUGGUCCCUCCUCCCGAGCACACCCUCUUGAUCAAGAGUAACGUUUUGUCCAGACACUUCAGUUGACACCGUAGUCUCUCUCUCUUUUUUUUUUUUUACUCCAAACAUACGUUUAGUAUUAGAAGGCUACCUGAUGAAUUUAUUCUUCUAAAGUAGAUUUAAAUUCUCAAUUUUUAUUUUAACUCCCUCAGUUACCGUGUUUUUGUUUCCGUGCUCAGGAGUCACUGAGUGACACCAUCUUAAGGAUGUGGCCUGUGACAGAGCUGGGCCAGUGCCAAGGAGUCGUUUGGACUGAUGGUGGGAGAGGCCGUGGUACCCUUCAUCAGUGUGACUAGAGUGUGGCUAGCAGAGGAGCUUACCAAGAGGAGGCUUUGGGUUGGCGUCUGAAGCCCUGAGGAGCCUCUCACACUUGAGUGAGGCAGAGUUGACAGAAGUCAAUAAACAGGCAAAGCAUCUCUAUUUAAAAACACUGCUCAGUAGCUGUGUCUCAAGCACCCAGGAUUUGACAGUGUGAGGCUAAGUAGGCAAAGUCCCCGUGAGUGUGCACUGGUCCCUAUUCUUUGGUAACUUGCAGUCCAUUGGAGGAGGCUGAUGCUAGUCAUAGAACAGAAGCAAAGCCAAAUUAUACUGUGGUGGUGGUUACAAGGAAAAGGUACAAAUAUACUAAACCCACAGUGGCUUGUAAAAUUAUAGUAGGGAAUGCCGAUCUGGAGCCCUAUGAGAAGACUUUGGCCAUUAUCUAACAUGGCUUAACAAGAACCAUGGUGAACAAAGGCUAAAGAGGAGUCACCAAAACAGUGUGUGUGCCUUCAUUUUGCCCUAAUUAGAAAGGAGAAAAUAACACUGCUGUGAUGGUACUAAAAAGUACUAUGACUUAGACCAAGCAAGAUAGAAGACGGUCUAUUUUCCCAAGGAUCAGGGGUUCAAAGGGAGAAUGGUCCAAUGGGACAAUGUGAGGGUCAGGAUUGAAGAGGAAAAUUUGUUCAUAAUCCCAUAUGUUUGCGUGUAAUAAAAGUCAUACCAUUAAUAAAUGAAUCCAUUGUCUAUUAUGGUCAUGUAGGAUUGACUGGAGAGCCGCUAUGUUGUAAAAUUUGGCAGUAUAAGAUGGUGAUAGAAGAAGAGAAUAAAUUUAUUACUUUUGUUUGGAGCUGCACCGAUAUUUUGGCUCCAAGAUCAACACUUUCCUCUUAAAGUUGUGCUGUGGGAUGGUCUGUAUGUCAAAUGUGUUGCUGAUUGGUCAAUGAAUAAAUCACUGAUUGGCAGUGGCCAGACAGGAAGUAUAGGCGGGACUAACAGAGAGGAGAAAGGAGAGAACAGGAAGCUGGUUGAGGGAGACACUGCCAGCCGCCAUCAGGACAAGAAAGAUGUAAAGUACCGGUAAGCCACAAGCCACGUGGCAAAGUAUAGAUUAAUAGAAAUGGAUUAAUUUAAGCUGUAAGAACAGUUAGCAAGAAGCCUGCCACGGCCAUACAGUUUGAAACCAAUAUAAGUCUCUGUGUUUACUUGAUCGGGUUUGAGCGGCUUGGGACUGGCGGGUGAGAGAGAUUUGUCCUGACUGUGGGCCAGGCAGGAAAACUCUAGCUACAAGUUGGGAUGGUCAUGUUGUUAUAAAUGGAGGCAUGGUCUUAGUAGUCCUUACAUACUUUCUUAGCCAGUUAAUUAGGAAUUUUAAGCUUCUAUUUUUGGACUCGUAAUGUAUAGUUUGUUAUGUUUAUAGCACAUAAAUCUUCAAGUAAUUUUGGCAUCAAGUGAUAGGAAGUAGAUGCAUAACUAUCAAAGUAUUUUCUAGUGUGAAGGAUGCCUCGAUGUUAUUAAGGUAGUAUGUGAAUAUUCUUUAUGGUGUGACUAACACAUAGUGGGAAUACAGGGUCAUAACUAGUAAAAUUAAGUUCUACUAGGAUAAUAGUGAAGCUAGAUCAUCACAUUGCUAUUAAAGGAUGUAAUCUGUAAUAGACAAACUGGUAGUAUAGUUUGACUAUGAAUUUGUUCAUAGUUUGAGUUUAUGAGACAAAGCAAUGACAGCUCGUGACUGUGGGCUAUCAGGACUAAGGCGCCAUAAAACCUUCAUAACGUUUGGCUAAGAAUGACUGCAAUUACCUCUAUAUGACUUGACAGACUCAUGACUGGUGAUUUUUAAGUCUGUUUGGUGUAAAUAAGUAGCACUUGAUUUGUGGAGCCCGAUGACCCUUCAUUGGGAUAAUGUAAGAAACGGAUAGGCUGUGUGUUCUGUCGGUGUUUGGAAUUAGAGUAAUGUUUAUUAUUCUGUAGCCACCUAUUUUAUUAACAAUGCCGCUACAAGGACCGAAGAGCUAAUACCUGGGGCUUGUCUGGGUGCUUUCCGUAGGCAGAGGCCAUACAGGGUAUUCUUAACUGUGACUGCUAUUGUACUUGCUGGUCAUAGGAGACUAUUAAAUGAGGAGCUUGGUAACUCAGGAGUAGCUUAUCAAAUAAUUUAAAGAGUGCUCCAUAUAGAUUAAAGCUAUGAGUAGUCAAUCAGGGUACAAAACAGGAAAUGAAAAUGCUCUGUUUAAUCAUUCAGUUUGGCUUCCUCAGUGGGCGAUAAUAAUUAAAUUGGAGUUAGAAUAUAGAAUAUAGAGAAUAUAGAAUAGGAUUAGGUCUUUUGGCAAUAAAUACCAUGAUUAAAAAUAUUUGUAGAGAACUCUUGCUGGGCAGUGGUGCCACACACCUUUAGUCCUACCAGUUGGGAGGCAGAGGCAGGUGAACUCUGUGAGUUCAAGGCCAGCCUGGUCUACAAAAAGAGUUCCAGGACAGUCAGAGUGGUUACACAGAGAAACCCUGUCUGAAAAAGAGCAAACAAAAAUUUGUAGAGAACUCUUAAAAAUUGUGAUAGGAAUGCUGAAGUGUAGCUCUGCACAGUUGAUGGUUUCUGGUAGGGUCGGGAAGGACUCAGUUUUCACUAAGAGCUGGCCACUGGGAGUCUGACCAUGCUCCAGUGAGUAGUAUAUGGGAAACACAAAUUGGACUUGGUAUAUUUUUCUUCUUCUUUUUUGGGGGGAAAUCACAAGGAUGGAUAUGGAAGGACUGGGGGGUGAGGAUGAUUGGUGUGCAUUAUGUGAAAUUCUCAAACAAUCAAAAAUAUGUUGUAAAAAUAUUUAUAGAGGUUGGAUGUGGUGGCACAUACCUGUAAUUCUAGCAUUUAGGAGAUAGAGGCUGGAAGAUGAAGAGUUCAAGGCCAUCUUUGGCUCUGCAGAUAGUUUGAAGCCACCCAGUGGUAAAUGAGAUUCACUUACAAAGCAAACAAUCCAGGCAUGGUGCCCCAUGCCUUUAAUCCCAGAACCCAGGAGGCUGAACUUGAGACUAGCCUGGUCUACAAAUUGAGUUCCAGGACAACAAAGGCUACACAGAGAAACCCUGUCUCAAACAAUGAACAAACAAGCAAUACCCCUUAAAGCAAAGAAUAUAUGCAGAAUAAUUAAUAUUGCUUAAUAAUCAAUAUUGAGUAUUUUUGUCUUUCAUUGCUAUAACAAAACACCUAAGAUAAAGAAGAGGAAGAUUUUUGGUUGUGGUGGUGUAACCCUUUAAUCCCAGCACUAGGGAGACAGAGGCAAUCAGAUCUCUGUGAGUUCAAGGCCAUGAUGGUCUACAUGGUGAGUUCUAGGCCAGCCAGAGGUACCCAGUAGGGGUGAGGGGUUGGGGGGAGACAGACGGAGGGAGGGAGAGAUUAUUAUCAUUGACUGUUCAAAAUUGGUCAAGGAAUAUGGAAACCUGGAUUCUGUAUUGACUGUCCCCAAAUAGUGCUUCACCUCGAGAUGAACAUAAAGUCCAAAAAUCUAUUUGCCAUUAAAUGAAGAAUCAUCAUCGUCCAUUAGAGAGAACCCCAGGCUGCAGGGACCAGAAUCCAGACUCGUAGCAGGAGCAGAGAUGGCAAAUAGCAGAGGAACCUCAGGCAGGCCAAAAAUGUUCAGAAUCUCCUUUGUGAAGCGAAGGAGUUGGAUAUAGUUUCCUAUGGCUAGCUCAAUCUCCCCAAAGACUUCUCAAUAACUGGCAACUGAGAAACCAAGGAUUAUAAAGGGGCUAUUUUCAUAAGAGGAUUAAAAGAUGUAAGCUCUAUCCUAAUAUUCAGAGGUACAAUGGGAAAUUGCUCCCAUUAGAAGGUAUUGAGUUGAGAUAUUAAUAUUCAUACCUUGAACUAGUCCUGAUGUGGAUUAUCAAGUCUAAUUUGAGUACUAAGAACCAGAGAUUGGCAGCUGUAUAUGUCCAGGUAGA